CUCCACAGGCUUUCUUGAACUGUGAACUCGAUCGCGUGCUCUUAGCUUGCUUGCUCUCGCUCGCUUUGUGUUGAUGGUUCAAGAAAGUCCUUGGAA
RNAcentral lists this microRNA precursor (96 nucleotides) under Sorghum bicolor (sorghum). Its description in RNAcentral is "miR396d stem-loop (sbi-MIR396d)". Its record names the gene sbi-MIR396d. Lineage: Eukaryota; Viridiplantae; Streptophyta; Magnoliopsida; Poales; Poaceae. The record is from miRBase by way of RNAcentral.